UCAUCAAAAAGGGCUGAAGAGAUAUU
Molecule: microRNA, 26 nt
Filed under: Drosophila ananassae
Lineage: Eukaryota; Metazoa; Arthropoda; Insecta; Diptera; Drosophilidae
Description: Dan-Mir-2-P1-v2_5p* (star (passenger))
Source: RNAcentral